AUGCUAGUAGUGCUAAGUUGCCAGUGGAAACUGCCCAUGGGCCACAUGAGAGACCACGGAUCCUGUAAUGCUGGGAGGCAUAAAGCUGGCACAGAAGUGCUGCAGAGAGGCUGUCACCAGUUAGAGGGAAGGAGCCAGAGAAGCAAGAGGUGUGGCAACAGCCAAGGGUCUUCAAAGGUAGAUGGACUGUGCACCCCCUUCCUGAAUGGGAGACCAGCACAGAGACCUUGGGGGCACGCCCCGCCCAGUCCUGCCCAGCCUCGCCCAGGCUCCAGCCGGAGGCUCCACCCCAGGCCAUGGCCUUCCACUUGCUCACGUGACCACGCCACAGGCAUGCAGAGAGGCAGGCUGAGCUCUGCCAGGCCAGCAGGGUCCUUGCCAGGCCUGGUGGACUUCGAGGACAGGGAGCAGGUGAAGGCCUUUCUGGAGAACGUGGUGGAGUGCAAGUACCAGUGCUACUGUGAGAAGGACCCGGAUGGUCUGUAUGAGCUGUUGGCUGUUCUGCCAGUCCAGCUGGGGCCACUUGUGGACAGCUAG
This 537-nucleotide long non-coding RNA is filed under the name Canis lupus familiaris (dog). RNAcentral describes it as "lncRNA (ENSCAFG00030002626.1)". Lineage: Eukaryota; Metazoa; Chordata; Mammalia; Carnivora; Canidae. The record is from RNAcentral.